RNAcentral lists this ribosomal RNA (494 nucleotides) under uncultured bacterium. Its description in RNAcentral is "partial 16S ribosomal RNA". It matches the Rfam family "Bacterial small subunit ribosomal RNA", at positions 28 to 507 of the family's 1533-position model. The record is from RNAcentral.
GAUGAACGCUGGCGGCGUGCCUAAUACAUGCAAGUCGAGCGAACAGACGAGGAGCUUGCUCCUCUGACGUUAGCGGCGGACGGGUGAGUAACACGUGGAUAACCUACCUAUACGACUGGGAUAACUUCGGGAAACCGGAGCUAAUACCGGAUAAUAUAUUGAACCGCAUGGUUCAAUAGUGAAAGACGGUUUUGCUGUCACUUAUAGAUGGAUCCGCGCCGCAUUAGCUAGUUGGUAGGGUAACGGCUUACCAAGGCAAUGACGCGUAGCCGGCCUGAGAGGGUGUAAGGUUACAGUGGGACUGAGAAACGGGGAAGACUCUGACGGGAGGCAGCAGGAGGGAAGCUUGCACGAUGUGUGUAAGUCUGAUGAAGUGACGCGGAGUGAGGGAGGGAGGACGUCAGUUUGUGAACCUCGUUCGACAGUGAAGCAGGCCUGCCUCGUUUGUGGGUGGGUUGACGGUGGCUAGAUGAGAAGCGCGGGGUGACUACGUG